Molecule: ribosomal RNA, 453 nt
Filed under: uncultured bacterium
Lineage: Bacteria
Description: bacterial SSU rRNA
Rfam family: Bacterial small subunit ribosomal RNA
Source: RNAcentral
AGAGUUUGAUCCUGGCUCAGAAUGAACGCUGGCGGCAGGCCUAACACAUGCAAGUCGAACGGAUCCUUCGGGAUUAGUGGCGGACGGGUGAGUAACGCGUGGGAACGUACCCCUUUCUUCGGAAUAGCCUCGGGAAACUGGGAGUAAUACCGGAUAAGCCCUAUUGGGGAAAGAUUUAUCGGGAAGGGAUCGGCCCGCGUUGGAUUAGGUAGUUGGUGGGGUAAUGGCCUACCAAGCCGACGAUCCAUAGCUGGUUUGAGAGGAUGAUCAGCCACACUGGGACUGAGACACGGCCCAGACUCCUACGGGAGGCAGCAGUGGGGAAUCUUAGACAAUGGGGGAAACCCUGAUCUAGCCAUGCCGCGUGAUCGAUGAAGGCCUUAGGGUUGUAAAGAUCUUUCAGUGGGGAAGAUAAUGACGGUACCCACAGAAGAAGCCCCGGCUAACUCCGUG